GGGAACGUACCUUUCGGUUCGGAAUAAUUCAGGGAAACUUGGACUAAUACCGGAUACGCCCUUCGGGGGAAAGAUUUAUCGCCGAUAGAUCGGCCCGCGUCUGAUUAGCUAGUUGGUGAGGUAAUGGCUCACCAAGGCGACGAUCAGUAGCUGGUCUGAGAGGAUGAUCAGCCACAUUGGGACUGAGACACGGCCCAAACUCCUACGGGAGGCAGCAGUGGGGAAUAUUGGACAAUGGGCGCAAGCCUGAUCCAGCCAUGCCGCGUGAGUGAUGAAGGCCUUAGGGUUGUAAAGCUCUUUUGUCCGGGAAGAUAAUGACUGUACCGGAAGAAUAAGCCCCGGCUAACUUCGUGCCAGCAGCCGCGGUAAUACGAAGGGGGCUAGCGUUGCUCGGAAUCACUGGGCGUAAAGGGCGCGUAGGCGGACUCUUAAGUCGGGGGUGAAAGCCCAGGGCUCAACCCUGGAAUUGCCUUCGAUACUGGGAGUCUUGAGUUCGGAAGAGGUUGGUGGAACUGCGAGU
Molecule: ribosomal RNA, 520 nt
Filed under: uncultured bacterium
Lineage: Bacteria
Description: bacterial SSU rRNA
Rfam family: Bacterial small subunit ribosomal RNA
Source: RNAcentral